This 405-nucleotide ribosomal RNA is filed under the name Triticum aestivum (bread wheat). Its description in RNAcentral is "partial small subunit ribosomal RNA". The record is from RNAcentral. Lineage: Eukaryota; Viridiplantae; Streptophyta; Magnoliopsida; Poales; Poaceae.
AAUCAAUUAAGCAGGGAUGACAUGGGCAAGUAUCUUGGUGCAUCAGCAGUAAGACACACAGGUAUUAACGAUCCAGCUACACUCGAAGCCUUGGCGUGCAGAGAAGCUCUUUCCCUUGCCCUCGACCUCUCACUAUCUCAUGUGUUGGUAGCCUCAGAUUGCAAGGAGGUUGUCCCGGACAUACACAAGGGCACGGGCGGCCUUUACGCGAGCAUUGUUAAAGAGAUCAUCUCCCAAGGUUUGCAGUUUCCAGCAUGCUCCUUCAUCUUCGAAGGGCGCGAGACAAACUUUGAGGUGCACAGCCUCGCCAAACACACUUUGGGACUCUCUCCGGGACGCCAUCUCUGGCUACUUAAUACCCCGAAUUUAUCUUGUAUUCCUAUGUAUUUGGAUAUUGAUCAAUAA